GGCUGAUGCGUCCCAUCGGCUGGUCGGGAAGUGCAGAAUAGAUGGAAAGACAGCAGAAAUGCAUAUCAGGUAUGAAUGUUAAUUGUGAGAAAGAAGGUUAAAAAGACAAAACUAAAGAGGGCUACAGCCAAAACAGUGAAGAUAGUUUUGCCAUAUCCCUAUUCUUAAGAGUAGCAUAUAGACUUUUCUAUGAAAUUAACUAGUAGCAUAUCCACCAUAUGUCAAUUAAUCAAAACCGUGAUGAUCCACAAUGUGUCACUAAAGAAUCUUCCUUAUAGGCAAUUACACAAAGAUGAUCACUCUUGAUUCCAUAGUUUUUCAGACAAAACAGAGAAAUGAGAACUCAAUUGCUGGUCCAGUUUUACCUUUGAAGUCCACGAUAUUUCGC
Long non-coding RNA from Arabidopsis thaliana (thale cress), 388 nucleotides. RefSeq annotates it as other RNA. The record is from RefSeq. Lineage: Eukaryota; Viridiplantae; Streptophyta; Magnoliopsida; Brassicales; Brassicaceae. The transcript has a single exon.